AUGGAGUCUGCAUGUCUGUGGAACGGUGCUGGGCAAGGGGGAAAACGGAAAGCCUCUGCAGAGAGAGGUGCUGAACCAAAUGGCAAAAUCUAUGUGAAAACGGUGGAAGAAGUCUGUUCUGGGGGAGCUCGUCUCCAGGUUGGAGGGCUUCCUGGAAGAGCAGGUCCCAGCUCAGGGAGAAGACCUUCCCCUGCAGUCGACAUCUACUCUUUCUCCAAGACUCUGGCUGGAAGGAAGCGCAAGGGCUUGGAAAAAGAGGAACAAAAAGCAGAGCUGUUGCCUGCCAAGAAACAAGUAAAGGGGGGGCGCAGUGGGGAGAAGGCUCAGAGGGUGCAUCAGAGCAGAGGCGGUGUGCCAGCUCCACCAGCGCACCCUGGGCCUGCCCGAACGCCAAGUAAGCAGUUACAGACCUCAAAGCUAAGAGGUAAGAAGAUGCUGUGCUACCUGCCCUGGUGAGCUGCUUCCCUUAUCAAGCAAAUUGAGUUUGCUUAGGGCUUGCUUUGCUUUUUUCCUUCUCUGUAGAGGGGAAAAGAGUUGAAGGCUACCAAGUCCAAAGGCAAGGACAUGCCAGAAUGUGUAGCCUCAUCUUUUCCCAUUAACUACAUGAUGGUCUUCUGCCUGUCCCAGUGGAAAUGUUGUUCCCUGAGGGGCUUCCUAGCUGAUUUUCCUUUGUCUUUUUUCUGCCAUCUGUUUUUAUGGUACCCAUGUUUCUGCGGUUUUGCUGUUGACAAAAUGAAUUUAUCUUUUUUCUUGCUUCAUAGCAAGAAGAAGACGACAACAAAAAGAGAGGAGAGCAGAAAUGAAGAAGGCUUCUCUCAGAGCUGCUGCUGCAUGUGCAGAGGUGAGUCCUUGGUGAACACAGGCAUGCGCUCUUGUUGUCCUCAGGGCCUCAGUCUGUCAGACAUGAAUGAGAUUGUAAAGUCUCGAGGGAAGCGGUGUCCUAUUUUUACACUUCCUUUGUUUCUUUCUAGUCCUCCACAGUGAACAGCCUUGUGGAGAUGAUGCAGAAGCUGCAGCUGAAAGACUGAGUGGAGGAGCAGCAGAAGGCAGUGGCUGCUGUGCACAGCACUACAGUGCUCUGAGUGCCGCCCAACUCGGCACUCUAAGUCUGGUUGCAUUCAAUAAAUGAUCACAAUUACGGACUCA
RNAcentral lists this long non-coding RNA (1146 nucleotides) under Numida meleagris (helmeted guineafowl). RNAcentral describes it as "lncRNA (ENSNMEG00000013472.1)". Lineage: Eukaryota; Metazoa; Chordata; Aves; Galliformes; Numididae. The record is from RNAcentral.